AAAGGAAUUGACGGGGGCCCGCACAAGCGGCGGAGCAUGUGGAUUAAUUCGAUGCAACGCGAAGAACCUUACCUGGGUUUGACAUGCACAGGACGCCGGCAGAGAUGUCGGUUCCCUUGUGGCCUGUGUGCAGGUGGUGCAUGGCUGUCGUCAGCUCGUGUCGUGAGAUGUUGGGUUAAGUCCCGCAACGAGCGCAACCCUUGUUCCAUGUUGCCAGCGCGUCAUGGCGGGGACUCAUGGGAGACUGCCGGGGUCAACUCGGAGGAAGGUGGGGAUGACGUCAAGUCAUCAUGCCCCUUAUGUCCAGGGCUUCACACAUGCUACAAUGGCCGGUACAAAGGGCUGCGAUGCCGUGAGGUUAAGCGAAUCCUAGAAAAGCCGGUCUCAGUUCGGAUCGGGGUCUGCAACUCGACCCCGUGAAGUCGGAGUCGCUAGUAAUCGCAGAUCAGCAACGCUGCGGUGAAUACGUUCCCGGGCCUUGCACACACCGCCCGU
Molecule: ribosomal RNA, 495 nt
Filed under: uncultured bacterium
Lineage: Bacteria
Description: bacterial SSU rRNA
Rfam family: Bacterial small subunit ribosomal RNA
Source: RNAcentral